GUAACUAUGUUAAAGAAAGCUAUCUGCACCUAAUAUCUUAUUUGUUGAUGUCUAUGAAUUAGUCUUAAAUAGGAGCACACUAUACAAAGACAACAGUAGCCAGUUGCUGGAUCUGACUCCACCCGUUUCUCCUCCAUGGGCAUCACCUGCAUAAUCCAAGUGAUAAAAGAGAGAACAAACUAUUGUUUCAUGUUCUCUGCUAUCCAUACAGUAUAG
Etheostoma spectabile (orangethroat darter) is the source of this 216-nucleotide long non-coding RNA. RefSeq lists it as uncharacterized. The transcript is spliced from 3 exons. NCBI's taxonomy places the organism in Eukaryota, Metazoa, Chordata, Actinopteri, Perciformes, Percidae. The record is from RefSeq and is a predicted model, not a curated record.